UGUUAAACUUUAACCAUUUUCCGAGUUCAUGAUGAAAAUGUUGAUAAUGGUUAAAAUUCAACAACUAAAAUGACUGAAAAAAAAGUCGCCAUGUUUGCAAUCCCUGAAAUGUUUGUUUUGUUUAUGGUCUCGUGUUGUAAUCGUAAAUAAUUUUUAUAAAUUCUCCUGAGAUAAUACAAACUGCGAGAAUUGUGAAGCAACGGAUAUCCGAAUUCGAAAACAGCAGCAGUUCCGCCGCGGAUAGAAAUCCGUCAGUUGACUCAACGAAACCUCCAGUUGUCGCCACGUCUAUGAAAUGUUCCGGAACUUCCUACAUUUGCUGCAUCAAGAGGUUCAUGUCGGUUCGUUCCGAAAAUAUGCGAGGAAAAAAUCAGCACUUAAAAAACUGCAGAGCGGGAAGCGUGAUGUGCGAACAUAGAAGCAGCAGCGCAUCAUCCGCAGUGGUAGCGCAGUGGCCGAUACAAGGAUAAUCGAGGCAACGAUUCCCUCGACCGGCUAAACUUUUUCCGCUAAUGCAACAUCGUAGUGCCAGCUCCUCUACCAGCAUCCAACAGAGCAGAUAGCUGUGAAGGCUACU
Molecule: long non-coding RNA, 577 nt
Organism: Uranotaenia lowii
Lineage: Eukaryota; Metazoa; Arthropoda; Insecta; Diptera; Culicidae
Exons: 3
Source: RefSeq, a predicted model, not a curated record